This 1260-nucleotide ribosomal RNA is filed under the name metagenome. RNAcentral's name for it is "SSU rRNA". It matches the Rfam family "Eukaryotic small subunit ribosomal RNA", at positions 519 to 1800 of the family's 1831-position model. The record is from RNAcentral.
UACACUUUAAAUCCUUUAACGAGGAUCAAUUGGAGGGCAAGUCUGGUGCCAGCAGCCGCGGUAAUUCCAGCUCCAAUAGCGUAUAUUAAAGUUGUUGCAGUUAAAAAGCUCGUAGUUGGAUCUCAGGAUUUGGAUGGAUGGUUCGCUUUCGGGCGCUACUAUCUGUCUGACCUACUCUAGUCGUGGAUGCCUUGGGUGCUCUUAAUUGAGUGCUUUUGGUGCCCGACGCAAUUACUUUGAAAAAAUUAGAGUGCUCAAAGCAGGCGUAUUGCCUGAAUAGUGUUGCAUGGAAUAAUGAAAUAGGAGUUUACUUCUAUUUUGUUGGUUUUCGGAGGUGAACUAAUGAUUAACAGGGACAGACGGGGGCAUUUGUAUGGAGGGGUUAGAGGUGAAAUUCUUGGAUCCUCUCCAGACAAACUACUGCGAAAGCAUUUGCCAGGAAUGUUUUCACUAAUCAAGAACGAAAGUCAGAGGUUCGAAGACGAUCAGAUACCGUCCUAGUUCUGACCAUAAAUGAUGCCAUCUAACAAUCCACGAAGUUUGCUUGUACGAACUCGUGGGCGGUCCCCGGGAAACCAAAGAUUUUGGGUUCCGGGGGAAGUAUGGUUGCAAAGCUGAAACUUAAAGGAAUUGACGGAAGGGCACCACCAGGAGUGGAGCCUGCGGCUUAAUUUGACCCAACACGGGAAACCUCACCCGGCCCGGACACUUUUAGGAUUGACAGAUUGAAGGCUCUUUCUUGAUCAAGUGGUUGGUGGUGCAUGGCCGUUCUUAGUUGGUGGAGCGAUUUGUCUGGUUAAUUCCGAUAACGAACGAGACUCUACUCUGCUAAAUAGAACGUUGAUAUAUAAAAGUCAGUGCUGACUUCUUAGAGAGACUAACGGCGUUUAGCCGUGUGAGAAAGAGCAAUAACAGGUCUGUGAUGCCCUUAGAUGUCCGGGGCCGCACGCGCGCUACACUGACUGCAGCAACUAGUAUGCUCCUGGUUUGAAAAAACUGGGUAACCUGGUUGAAUUGCAGGCGUGACAGGGAUCAGAGUUUGCAAUUAUCCUCUGUGAACGAGGAAUUCCCAGUAAGCGCAAGUCAUUAGCUUGUGCUGAUUACGUCCCUGCCCUUUGUACACACCGCCCGUCGCUACUACCGAUUGAAUGGUUUAGUGAGGUCUUCGGAUUGGUGCUGAUGGAGUGGUUCUCUGCUCUGUUAGUGCCGAGAAGAUGAUCAAACUUGAUCAUUUAGAGGAAGUAAAAGUCGUAACAAGGU